CUGAGACACGGCCCAGACUCCUACGGGAGGCAGCGGUGGGGAAUUUUCCGCAAUGGGCGAAAGCUGACAGAGCAAUACCGCGUGAGGGAAGAAGGCCUGUGGGUUGUAAACUCUUUCAAGAAGGAGUNUGACGUAC
RNAcentral lists this ribosomal RNA (136 nucleotides) under uncultured phototrophic eukaryote. Its description in RNAcentral is "partial 16S ribosomal RNA". It matches the Rfam family "Bacterial small subunit ribosomal RNA", at positions 319 to 456 of the family's 1533-position model. The record is from RNAcentral.